This is a long non-coding RNA of Mandrillus leucophaeus (drill), 912 nucleotides long. RefSeq lists it as uncharacterized. The record is from RefSeq and is a predicted model, not a curated record. NCBI's taxonomy places the organism in Eukaryota, Metazoa, Chordata, Mammalia, Primates, Cercopithecidae. The transcript has 4 exons.
UCUUAGUGGCAUCUGGGGUCGAGGAGGGUGACUGUCAGCCAGUUGGGGGACAUUUUCUUCUUGGUCCCUCGGCUCCUGCUUCCCUGUGAGCUGGGCAGCCUCAGCCCAGGUCCUGUCCAGUACUCAGCUGGCCUCGGCGCGCACAGCACAGGCUUGAGUGCAGCCGCGGGGGCAGGCAGAAGCAGGUUCCCUCAGAACAGCUGAGUCCAAAGGGUCAGAAGCCACAGCCCCUGUCGAGGGCUCUGGGGCAGCCAGGGGAGCUGCUCGUGAGUUGUCUCUGGGGCAGAAGGAAGAGACCUUCACCUGGGCUGGCACUGGGCCUGGGUCCCCAGUCUCAUGGGGAGCUUAUCCUGAUUAUACCUGCCUGGCUGUGAUGGCUGAGGCCGGACUGCGGAAUGCAAGGCUGCCUCAGGCCUCCAGGGCCGGAGCCGCAGGGAGCUGCUGAGUUUCCACAGGGCCACGGGGGCUGCGGCCAAAUGGAGCGGGGGCACAGGCGGGGACACUGAGGCUGAGCUCACAGCCAGGACAGGGACAGCAGAGUCACAGCCGAGGCCAUCUGCCCCACAAGGGAAGCAGCGCCCGCCUUCCUUGGUGGUCGGGGAAGACUGGACUGGCCCCUUGGGUCCCCACCAGCCUCAACCACUGUGGGUUCGUCCAACUUCAACUGUCAGGAGAGGUCGGGCCGAGGCCAGGAGGCUCAGCAGCUGGUUCCAUGACUUUCUCUUUGCCGAGGAGGUCAGGACAGAAGCUUCUAGUUGACAGGCCGCUCAACUUGGUAUAAAACAGAAAAUUUCUGUGCCUGUGCUGCCGGGCUGUGAAUGAUUUCUCGUCUGUUUCAUGAGACUCAACUUCAGCCCAGGCAGGCAUCAGAUGCGGCCGGGCGAGACGCGGAGCCAGGAGUCGUCCUCGCCC